RNAcentral lists this ribosomal RNA (418 nucleotides) under uncultured bacterium. RNAcentral's name for it is "bacterial SSU rRNA". It matches the Rfam family "Bacterial small subunit ribosomal RNA", at positions 355 to 786 of the family's 1533-position model. The record is from RNAcentral.
UGGGGAAUAUUGCACAAUGGGGGAAACCCUAAUGCAGCAACGCCGCGUGAAGGAUGAAGGUUUUCGGAUCGUAAACUUCUAUCAACAGGGACGAAACAAAUGACGGUACCUGAAUAAGAAGCCCCGGCUAACUACGUGCCAGCAGCCGCGGUAAUACGUAGGGGGCAAGCGUUAUCCGGAAUUACUGGGUGUAAAGGGAGCGUAGGCGGCACGUCAAGCCAGAUGUGAAAGCCCGGGGCUUAACCCCGUGGAUUGCAUUUGGAACUGGCGAGCUAGAGUACAGGAGAGGAAAGCGGAAUUCCUAGUGUAGCGGUGAAAUGCGUAGAUAUUAGGAAGAACACCAGUGGCGAAGGCGGCUUUCUGGACUGAAACUGACGCUGAGGCUCGAAAGCGUGGGGAGCAAACAGGAUUAGAUACC